This 1637-nucleotide ribosomal RNA is filed under the name Drosophila erecta. Its description in RNAcentral is "eukaryotic LSU rRNA". It matches the Rfam family "Eukaryotic large subunit ribosomal RNA", at positions 1768 to 3185 of the family's 3401-position model. Lineage: Eukaryota; Metazoa; Arthropoda; Insecta; Diptera; Drosophilidae. The record is from RNAcentral.
ACAUAUACUGUUGUGUCGAUAUUUUCUCCUCGGACCUUGAAAAUUUAUGGUGGGGACACGCAAACUUCUCAACAGGCCGUACCAAUAUCCGCAGCUGGUCUCCAAGGUGAAGAGUCUCUAGUCGAUAGAAUAAUGUAGGUAAGGGAAGUCGGCAAAUUAGAUCCGUAACUUCGGGAUAAGGAUUGGCUCUGAAGAUUGAGAUAGUCGGGCUUGAUUGGGAAACAAUAACAUGGUUUAUGUGCUCGUUCUGGGUAAAUAGAGUUUCUAGCAUUUAUGUUAGUUACUUGUUCCCCGGAUAGUUUAGUUACGUAGCCAAUUGUGGAACUUUCUUGCUAAAAUUUUUAAGAAUACUAUUUGGGUUAAACCAAUUAGUUCUUAUUAAUUAUAACGAUUAUCAAUUAACAAUCAAUUCAGAACUGGCACGGACUUGGGGAAUCCGACUGUCUAAUUAAAACAAAGCAUUGUGAUGGCCCUAGCGGGUGUUGACACAAUGUGAUUUCUGCCCAGUGCUCUGAAUGUCAAAGUGAAGAAAUUCAAGUAAGCGCGGGUCAACGGCGGGAGUAACUAUGACUCUCUUAAGGUAGCCAAAUGCCUCGUCAUCUAAUUAGUGACGCGCAUGAAUGGAUUAACGAGAUUCCUACUGUCCCUAUCUACUAUCUAGCGAAACCACAGCCAAGGGAACGGGCUUGGAAUAAUUAGCGGGGAAAGAAGACCCUUUUGAGCUUGACUCUAAUCUGGCAGUGUAAGGAGACAUAAGAGGUGUAGAAUAAGUGGGAGAUAUUAGACCUCGGUUUGGUAUCGUCAAUGAAAUACCACUACUCUUAUUGUUUCCUUACUUACUUGAUUAAAUGGAACGUGUAUCAUUUCCUAGCCAUUAUACGGAUAUAUUUAUUAUAUCUUAUGGUAUUGGGUUUUGAUGCAAGCUUCUUGAUCAAAGUAUCACGAGUUUGUUAUAUAAUCGCAAACAAAUUCUUUAAUAAAACGAUGCAUUUAUGUAUUUUUGAUUUGAAAAUUUGGUAUAACUCCAAUUACUCAGGUAUGAUCCAAUUCAAGGACAUUGCCAGGUAGGGAGUUUGACUGGGGCGGUACAUCUCUCAAAUAAUAACGGAGGUGUCCCAAGGCCAGCUCAGUGCGGACAGAAACCACACAUAGAGCAAAAGGGCAAAUGCUGACUUGAUCUCGGUGUUCAGUACACACAGGGACAGCAAAAGCUCGGCCUAUCGAUCCUUUUGGUUUAAAGAGUUUUUAACAAGAGGUGUCAGAAAAGUUACCAUAGGGAUAACUGGCUUGUGGCGGCCAAGCGUUCAUAGCGACGUCGCUUUUUGAUCCUUCGAUGUCGGCUCUUCCUAUCAUUGUGAAGCAAAAUUCACCAAGCGUUGGAUUGUUCACCCAUGCAAGGGAACGUGAGCUGGGUUUAGACCGUCGUGAGACAGGUUAGUUUUACCCUACUAAUGACAAAACGUUGUUGCGACAGCAUUCCUGCGUAGUACGAGAGGAACCGCAGGUACGGACCAAUGGCACAAUACUUGUUCGAGCGAACAGUGGUAUGACGCUACGUCCGUUGGAUUAUGCCUGAACGCCUCUAAGGUCGUAUCCGUGCUGGACUGCAAUGAUAAAUAAGGGGCAAUUUGCAUUGU